CUACCCUUAGGUGGGGCAUAAACCCGGGAAACUGGGGCUAAUUCCCCAUAGAUACAGAAGGCUGGAAUGCCUCUGUAUUCAAAGCUCCGGCGCCUAAGGAUGAGUCUGCGACCUAUCAGGUAGUAGUCAGGGUCACGACCUGACUAGCCAACGACGGGUACGGGGUGUGAGAGCACUUGCCCGGAGAUGGUUUCUGAGACUCGAAACCAGGCCCUACGGGGCGCAGCAGGCGCGAAAACUUCGCAAUGCGGGAAACCGUGACGAGGGAACUCCAAGUGUCUAUGCAAUGCAUAGACUGUUUUUCAGCCUAAAUAGCUGUUAGAGUAAGGGGUGGGUAAGACCGGUGCCAGCCGCCGCGGUAACACCGGCACCCCGAGUGGUAGCCACUAUUAUUGGGCCUAAAGCGUUCGUAGCCGGUUUAGUAAAUUCUUGGGUAAAUCGUACAGCUUAACUGUGCGGAUUCCGGGGACACUACUAGACUUGAGACCGGGAGAGAUUAGAGGUACUUGCAGGGGAGCGGUGAAAUGUUGUAAUCCUGCAGGGACCACCAGUGGCGAAGGCGUCUAAUCAUAACGGCUCUGACGGUGAGGAACGAAACCCUGGGGCGCAAACGGGAUUAGAUACCCCGGUAGUCCAGGGCGUAAACGCUGCUGACUUGGUGUUGGAGAUCCUACGAGGGUGUCCAGUGCUGGCGCGAA
This 698-nucleotide ribosomal RNA is filed under the name uncultured archaeon. Its description in RNAcentral is "bacterial SSU rRNA". It matches the Rfam family "Archaeal small subunit ribosomal RNA", at positions 109 to 810 of the family's 1478-position model. The record is from RNAcentral.